Molecule: long non-coding RNA, 834 nt
Organism: Drosophila mojavensis
Lineage: Eukaryota; Metazoa; Arthropoda; Insecta; Diptera; Drosophilidae
Exons: 2
Source: RefSeq, a predicted model, not a curated record
GCUCAGCUCCUGUCUAGGCUGCCUGUCUAUUUAAAAAUUGAUUUGUUGUUAUUUACAUGCCGCAUUUUUUAUCAGGAUCCCCCUUUAAAAUUCUGCUAUUCACUUUCUAUCGAAUGUUAUCAUUGUCAGCGGCGAUAAUUGUGGGAAAGGAAGAGCCCCGCCUCCUGGCUGCUGCCAAUGAGAAUUCAAUUUGUAAGUGUCAAUGGCAGUUUAGUAGAUGUCACCUAUCUGCUACUUUUUCUUUUUUAUUCGUUUUUGUGCCUCUUCAUCUUCAUUUUUUUCGAGUUUCUCACAUUUUUAUUGGCAUUUUGUCCAGUGAACCGAAAAUCCCUAGUUGAUUUGGGAGAGCAACAAGUUUAGCCAAGGCUGAUGACCAGGAUAAUCAAUAAGGGGUGGGGGAGAGAGGGACAGAUUCGAAUCGGAAUGCGAUAAGCUUACACCGCGUGACUCUUUGUGCCACUGCGAAUGCGACGUGCAGCGCAACGGGACAUUUAACUGGGGAUGUUAACUCUGUAGGUAUGUGUGGGACGGCUUAGCUGUGCAGUUCGUUUGGGAUUGUCUGUAAUUGAAAUCAGUCGCUCAGAAAAAUCUCUCAAAAUUUGCCAGAAGCAUCGCCGUGGAAAUAAAUAACAAAUAGCUGAGUAUAUACCAUGUACAACUGAAAAAAUUAUAAAUAAUGGAAGAAAAAAAUUGAAAAGAUUGCCUUCAGAGUGCAUCGCUUUCAUUAUGAAUAGUUUAUGAUCUUUUUCGGAUGUUUUAGUUUUAGUUUUUAGCAAUUCAAGGAGAAAACUUUAUAAAGAUAUUUAAAAGUGAAUAAAUGUAAAUAUGACUAAA